RNAcentral lists this transfer RNA (76 nucleotides) under Legionella pneumophila. RNAcentral's name for it is "tRNA-Thr". It matches the Rfam family "tRNA". Rfam says of the family: Transfer RNA (tRNA) molecules are approximately 80 nucleotides in length. The record is from RNAcentral. Lineage: Bacteria; Pseudomonadati; Pseudomonadota; Gammaproteobacteria; Legionellales; Legionellaceae.
GCCGUUGUAGCUCAGUUGGUAGAGCAAUUGAUUCGUAAUCAAUAGGUCGCGUGUUCGAUUCACGCCAACGGCACCA